This 254-nucleotide ribosomal RNA is filed under the name uncultured bacterium. Its description in RNAcentral is "partial 16S ribosomal RNA". It matches the Rfam family "Bacterial small subunit ribosomal RNA", at positions 333 to 604 of the family's 1533-position model. The record is from RNAcentral.
AGAUACCUACGGGGGGAAGCAGUGGGGGAUAUUGCACAAUGGGGGAAACCCUGAUGCAGCGACGCCGCGUGGGUGAAGAAGCGCCUCGGCGCGUAAAGCCCUGUCAGCAGGGAAGAAAAUGACGGUACCUGAAGAAGAAGCCCCGGCUAACUACGUGCCAGCAGCCGCGGUAAUACGUAGGGGGCAAGCGUUAUCCGGAUUUACUGGGUGUAAAGGGGGCGCAGACGGCGAUGCAAGCCAGGAGUGAAAGACCG